Molecule: long non-coding RNA, 1841 nt
Organism: Anolis carolinensis (green anole)
Lineage: Eukaryota; Metazoa; Chordata; Lepidosauria; Squamata; Anolidae
Source: Ensembl
GUUUAGGAUUUUUCCUGGUCUUUCAGAGUAACAUUAUUGUGAUUUCUGGUUAAAGUUGCUCAUUUCAAUUCACUAUUCACUAUUAUCCGUGGUUCCUAUUUCCAUGAAAAAUUCAGGAAUGUAUUCUUAGUGAAUAAGGAAGAUUGUACUAUAAAAGGGACCUGUAUAUUCUCUCUACUUCAAGCGGGGAGGCUGAAGGAACAAAGCCCAGAGAUAUAUCAUUAGCAUAUGGGGUAGUUCCCCAAGCUCUGCGGAUCCUCCAGAUGGAGGAGCAUCCCUGCCUGUCUCCUCCUGAUGUUUCACUUUGAUCACUGCAGAAUCCCACCCAAACCUGGCUUCCUAAAACGCAGAAGUUGCUCAUUACCAGUGGGAUUCCCCAGGCAGGAAGGCUGUGAUGCGGGCAUCCCAGUGAGCAAUCAGUAGGAGAGCCUUUAUUAUCACACUAUUUUUCACAGCCUGGAGGAGAAAAAGGACAGGGCGGAGGUGGAGAUAAACCUUUUGCCCAAGGAGAUGCUGACAUAAUGCCAGGCCAUCUGUCUUUUGCCUGAGGACGGCACAGCAGAACAAAAGUGGGAAAAGACUAGUGCUGGGAAAUGGCAUGCGCAGGAGGCAGCAUUAGUCAUGGCCGUGGGCUGGGGCUCAGGAGACACUGGUGUGCAUCAUACAUGAUUCAGAGCCAAUCAGGCUGACCCGUGGGAUGAACGCUCCAAAGCCAUUGCAUUGGCUCUAGGGGACAUUGGUAUGGUACAAGGUCAGAGUUGAUUUGCUGGGAUGGGAGUUGGUAACACUUUAAAAUGCAGCAGUUGGAGGCAAUGAAUGAGGCUUUCUCUUCAAAGUCCUUACAAAGAGGAGAGAAAGUGAAGGAGGGGGGAAGCAUAUGACAAAUUAGCCAAUAUUGAAUGUAGGCUGAAAUCUGCUCUGCUGUCUUACUUGAUCCUUGCAUCUCUGUCAGAGCUGAGAAAAGUAACCUUUUGUGAUUACAGCUCGCAGAAUUCCCCUCGUGGCUGGAAGAUUUGUUCCUUCUCACAGACACUUGCUCCUAACUGGAAAAAGAUUACCAGGGAAUGAAGCUGAAGCACAACUGCAGGAGGAUGGCAUUGUGAAUAUUGCCACUGGAAGAAAAGGAGGUGCUUUCCCCAAGCAAUUAUAUACUGAUGGUAUGUCGCCUUAUUGUUGUUCCAUUUCUGAUAACAGGCUAAAUGGAUGUGAGGUUCAGAGGAAAGGUAUCAUGUUGAGAUGAAAGAGUCAGCCUGGGAGCUGCAAAAGCAUUUAAGUGCAAUUUGAAAAAUAAGAUUUAUUCCACAUGUUAGACCUCUUUUGCAGUUUCUAUUCUUCAUCCCUUCCAUGAUUCUCAUGCAAUUAGAUUCAAAAAAUUACAGAUUGGGUAUACUAAUUUUGCACUUUAGGGGGCUCAACGUAGGCAAACAGUCAUUAAAAGCCCAAACUCGCUGGGCUCAAAGAUUAAUUUGAAUGUGAAUGAAAUGUGUUUGCAUGAAUGUCUGUGAUUUCCAUUGAGAUAUUUCUUCAGAAGUAGUACAUAAUGAAUUAGACAUUAUUUUUCUCUAUACCCAUGUCAUUUUAUUGAAAUCCACAUAUUUGUUUAGUGAUUUCUCUGUGUAUCUUGCUAUUCCAUUCAAAAUUGCAUUCAAGGUAGAUAGCAGCAGUAAAACACAGAAAAGUAGAAAAUGAAAAUAAGGUAAUUAAAAACACAGCGAUAAUAGAGAAAUAAAAAACACUCCCCAAUUAAACAGCCUUUAGCACAUAUAUCAACCUUAAAGCCUGAAUCAUGGUAGAAUACAAACAUAUUUAAUUGAUGAUGAAUGGGUGAUAAAAAAAAACCC